GGAAGUAAAAGGUCGUAACAAGGUUUCCGUAGGUGAACCUGCGGAAGGAUCAUUAUUGUAUAACCGAGGUGCGAGGGCUGUCGCUGACCCGAAAGGUCGUGCACGCCCGAGUGCCCUCACACACAUCCAUCUCACCCCUAUGUGCACCACCGCGUGGGUCCCCCUUUGGCUUGUUCGGAGGGGGGCUUACGUUUUCACACAAUCUUUGUAUGCAGUGUAGAAUGUAUUUUUUGUUUUUGCGAUCACGCAAUCAAUACAACUUUCAACAACGGAUCUCUUGGCUCUC
Molecule: unclassified non-coding RNA, 286 nt
Filed under: plant metagenome
Description: partial contains small subunit ribosomal RNA, internal transcribed spacer 1, and 5.8S ribosomal RNA
Rfam family: Eukaryotic small subunit ribosomal RNA (bases 1-55)
Source: RNAcentral